This 1422-nucleotide ribosomal RNA is filed under the name uncultured Ralstonia sp. Its description in RNAcentral is "16S ribosomal RNA". It matches the Rfam family "Bacterial small subunit ribosomal RNA". Lineage: Bacteria; Pseudomonadati; Pseudomonadota; Betaproteobacteria; Burkholderiales; Burkholderiaceae. The record is from RNAcentral.
AGAGUUUGAUUCUGGCUCAGAUUGAACGCUGGCGGCAUGCCUUACACAUGCAAGUCGAACGGCAGCAUGAUCUAGCUUGCUAGAUUGAUGGCGAGUGGCGAACGGGUGAGUAAUACAUCGGAACGUGCCCUGUAGUGGGGGAUAACUAGUCGAAAGAUUAGCUAAUACCGCAUACGACCUGAGGGUGAAAGUGGGGGACCGCAAGGCCUCAUGCUAUAGGAGCGGCCGAUGUCUGAUUAGCUAGUUGGUGGGGUAAAGGCCCACCAAGGCGACGAUCAGUAGCUGGUCUGAGAGGACGAUCAGCCACACUGGGACUGAGACACGGCCCAGACUCCUACGGGAGGCAGCAGUGGGGAAUUUUGGACAAUGGGUGAAAGCCUGAUCCAGCAAUGCCGCGUGUGUGAAGAAGGCCUUCGGGUUGUAGAGCACUUUUGUCCGGAAAGAAAUGGCUCUGGUUAAUACCUGGGGUCGAUGACGGUGCCGGAAGAAUAAGGACCGGCUAACUACGUGCCAGCAGCCGCGGUCAUACGUAGGGUCCAAGCGUUCAUCGGAAUUACUGUGCGUAGAGCGUGCGCAGGCGGUUGUGCAAGACCGAUGUGAGAUCCCCGAGCUUAACUUGGGAAUUGCAUUGGUGACUGCACGGCUAGAGUGUGUCAGAGGGGGGUAGAAUUCCACGUGUAGCAGUGAAAUGCGUAGAGAUGUGGAGGAAUACCGAUGGCGAAGGCAGCCCCCUGGGAUAACACUGACGCUCAUGCACGAAAGCGUGAGCAACAAACAGGAUUAGAUACCCUGGUAGUCCACGCCCUAAACGAUGUCAACUAGUUGUUGGGGUAUUCAUUUCCUUAGUAACGUAGCUAACGCGUGAAGUUGACCGCCUGGGGAGUACGGUCGCAAGAUUAAAACUCAAAGGAAUUGACGGGGACCCGCACAAGCGGUGGAUGAUGUGGAUUAAUUCGAUGCAACGCGAAAAACCUUACCUACCCUUGACAUGCCACUAACGAAGCAGAGAUGCAUUAGGUGCUCGAAAGAGAAAGUGGACACAGGUGCUGCAUGGCUGUCGUCAGCUCGUGUCGUGAGAUGUUGGGUUAAGUCCCGCAACGAGCGCAACCCUUGUCUCUAGUUGCUACGAAAGGGCACUCUAGAGAGACUGCCGGUGACAAACCGGAGGAAGGUGGGGAUGACGUCAAGUCCUCAUGGCCCUUAUGGGUAGGGCUUCACACGUCAUACAAUGGUGCAUACAGAGGGUUGCCAAGCCGCGAGGUGGAGCUAAUCCCAGAAAAUGCAUCGUAGUCCGGAUCGUAGUCUGCAACUCGACUACGUGAAGCUGGAAUCGCUAGUAAUCGCGGAUCAGCAUGCCGCGGUGAAUACGUUCCCGGGUCUUGUACACACCGCCCGUCACACCAUGGGAGUGGGCUUUACCAG